AUUAGGUUUGACUAUGUUCUAUUGACUAGUUAAAAUAGUGUUAUUUAAAUUUAAUUCACUUAGUGGACAAUGAAAAUUUAUCCCGGUAAUUUAUUGCUCGUAUAAACUUUGUACCAGAAUAAUCGGCUACACUUAGUGAGCUUAUACUCUAAAUGUGUUUUAAUUAAAAUUAUAAUAAAUUUUUUAGUUUUUAUUAGUAGAAUAAGAAAACUUGUUUAUAUUUGUUUUAAUUAAUAAGAUUAGAAAUAUGACCCAGAUUAGUACCUGGUUAAUCUAAAUUCAAAAUUUCAGGAGUAAAGUUAUAUUUAAACUGUAAGAGUAUUGGCAGAUUCUUUAAUUAUCUUUGGAGGCUGAGUAGUAAUUGAGAACCCUCAUUAUUAACUUCUUUUUUAGGUGCAUGUAUGUUCGUUUAUUUUAUUCUUAAAGAUUAAUAAUUAAGUUUUUUAACUUUUAAAAUAGAUAAAUACCUGAUUUAUAAAGAAGUGUGUAAUUUGGCCUACAAUAUUUUAUAUUGUGAAUAAUUUAAAGAGAUUUAAAUUUGAAAAUGUAAAAGACAGUAAAUUUAUUUUAAUGGUAAAUUGAAGAUUAUCAAAGAAUGGCACAAAUCAUCCAUCAAUUGUCUAAAGGAGAGUAAGUUGUAGUAAAGUAGGUUUAGAGGAAUCUGUACCUAGUAGU
RNAcentral lists this non-coding RNA (675 nucleotides) under Rhabditophanes sp. KR3021. Lineage: Eukaryota; Metazoa; Nematoda; Chromadorea; Rhabditida; Alloionematidae. The record is from RNAcentral.